This 252-nucleotide ribosomal RNA is filed under the name uncultured bacterium. RNAcentral describes it as "partial 16S ribosomal RNA". It matches the Rfam family "Bacterial small subunit ribosomal RNA", at positions 524 to 776 of the family's 1533-position model. The record is from RNAcentral.
UACGUAGGGUGCAAGCGUUGUCCGGAAUUAUUGGGCGUAAAGAGCUCGUAGGCGGUCUGUCGCGUCGGAUGUGAAAAUCAGGGCUCAACCCUGGACCUGCAUUCGAUACGGGCAGACUAGAGGUAGGCAGGGGAGAGCGGAACUCCUGGUGUAGCGGUGGAAUGCGCAGAUAUCAGGAAGAACACCGGUGGCGAAGGCGGCUCUCUGGGCCUUACCUGACGCUGAGGAGCGAAAGCGUGGGUAGCGAACAGG